AGCGAACGCUGGCGGCAGGCUUAACACAUGCAAGUCGAACGGGCGUAGCAAUACGUCAGUGGCAGACGGGUGAGUAACGCGUGGGAACGUACCUUUUGGUUCGGAACAACACAGGGAAACUCGUGCUAAUACCGGAUAAGCCCUUACGGGGAAAGAUUUAUCGCCGAAAGAUCGGCCCGCGUCUGAUUAGCUAGUUGGUGAGGUAACGGCUCACCAAGGCGACGAUCAGUAGCUGGUCUGAGAGGAUGAUCAGCCACAUUGGGACUGAGACACGGCCCAAACUCCUACGGGAGGCAGCAGUGGGAAUCUUAGGCAAUGGACGAAAGUCUGACCUAGCGACGCCGCGUGAGGGAAGAAGGCCUUCGGGUUGUAAACCUCUGUCAUGGGGGAAGAAGUAAGUGACGGUACCCAAGAGGAAGCCCUGCUAACUACGUGCCAGCAGCCGCGGUAAGAGUACUCUAU
This 462-nucleotide ribosomal RNA is filed under the name uncultured bacterium. RNAcentral's name for it is "bacterial SSU rRNA". It matches the Rfam family "Bacterial small subunit ribosomal RNA", at positions 29 to 532 of the family's 1533-position model. The record is from RNAcentral.